AGCGGCAAGACAGGAAGUCCAUAAGAAAGCUGUCCAGACUAUUCCAUCAUCACAUCUCUCUGAAUAAGCUCCAUGAUAUAGUCAGUAUGUCACAAAUCCCUUGUAUUGUGAUGUAUUCCUCGUCUGUGCCUUCUCAAAUCUUUAUCCCGGUGAACUGCGGCUGUAAGUGAAAGCAAAAAGAACUAGGAAACAUUAUGGAUCUAAUAUUUCCUUUCAAAUCAGUAAUAGAUAACUUUUAAAGCCCCAGCAUUCCUAACUUCUGGGCUUUGGAGACUCAAGCUGACAACAACAGAAUUUGACAAAACAUUUCAAAACUAGAAAAAUGAUAGAUGUAAAAUAGGAAGGAAUGUUCCUUGUUAAAAACUCAAAGUACAGACAGAUACGUAUCGAUGACCCUCAACAUUUGGUGCGUGCAAGAACGAGAAGCACCCUCAGGGCCCUGUUCUGGAAUUAUGACCCCUGGACCAGGACAUCAGCAUCAUCUGACCCAGAGAUUGUUAGACCCGCAGAUUCCAAGGCUUGCUCCAGACCUGCUCAGUCUGCAUUUGAACAAGAUUCCCAGAUAGGUUUCAUCUUCAAAGAAACCAUGGAAAAGACCCUGACAAGAGCCCUAGAAUACAGAUCUCUGAUAAUUUAAAGAUCAUAACACAGAGCCAGGAUUUCCUAGAACUGUGCUGAGCACAAGUCAGUUGACAUAGGAGCAUCUGAUAUUCUUCAGCAAGUCUCUUUCCAAGAAGGCUGACAACCUGAAACUGGAAGACUAAUGGUGAUGGUUAGUUUCCUGUGUCCCCGUGGCUGGGCUAAAGGAAGCCCGAGAGCUGGUAAAACAGGUUUCUGGAAGACGACGUCAGCAUGUGACUUGGUAGACAGUAGAGAGGAUCACUCUACCAGAGUGGAAGAGCAUUAUCCAGUCGGUUGAGGGUUUGAAUAAAACAAAAAAGUAGAGGAAGGGGAAAGCCCUUUUUCCCUGAGCUGAGACAUGCAUUUUCUCAGGCCCUCAGACAACGCUGCUUCUGAUUCUUAGGCAUUUGGACUCAGACUGGGAUUUACACCAUCCACGGCCCCAAAUCUUGGGCCUUUGGACUCAGACCGAAUUACACCAUGGACUUUCCUUGUUCUCCGCUGGCAGAUGGCAGAUUGUGUGGAUUCUCCACCUCCACAGGUGCACUGGCCAACACGGCAACCCCUCAAACCCCCUCUCACUCUGUAUAUAUCGAA
Long non-coding RNA from Canis lupus familiaris (dog), 1218 nucleotides. RefSeq lists it as uncharacterized. The transcript has 5 exons. Lineage: Eukaryota; Metazoa; Chordata; Mammalia; Carnivora; Canidae. The record is from RefSeq and is a predicted model, not a curated record.